RNAcentral lists this unclassified non-coding RNA (372 nucleotides) under uncultured fungus. Its description in RNAcentral is "partial contains small subunit ribosomal RNA, internal transcribed spacer 1, and 5.8S ribosomal RNA". The stretch from base 1 to 73 matches the Rfam family "Eukaryotic small subunit ribosomal RNA", at positions 1759 to 1831 of the family's 1831-position model. Lineage: Eukaryota; Fungi. The record is from RNAcentral.
CCAAACUUGGUCAUUUAGAGGAAGUAAAAGUCGUAACAAGGUUUCCGUAGGUGAACCUGCGGAAGGAUCAUUAGUGAAUAAACUCGUGUGGGUUGUUGCUGACCUCUUCGGAGGUAUGUGCACGCCUGCCGUUGUUUCAUUCUCCCUUCCACCUGUGCACUUAUUGUAGAUCAAGCAACUGCACUUCAGGCAUUCGCUGCCUGGCAUGAGGACUUGCAAGUUACUUGCUGUCCUUGAGUGGCCUGGUCUAUGUCUUUAUCAACUCCAUUGUAUGUGAUUGAAUGUAUGUUCUGGGUUCUUUACAGGCCCAUAAAACCUUAUACAACUUUCAACAACGGAUCUCUUGGCUCUCGCAUCGAUGAAGAACGCAGC